GAGUUUGAUCGUGGCUCAGAACGAACGCUGGCGGCAUGCCUAACACAUGCAAGUCGAACGGGGUCCAGGCGUUCGGCCUGGUGAGAGUGGCGGACGGGUGAGUAACGCGUGGGAACCUGCCCAAUGGUCUGGGAUAACCGCGGGAAACUGCGGCUAAUACCGGAUAAGCCCGAGAGGGAAAGAUUUAUCGCCGAUGGAGGGCCCGCGUCCGAUUAGGUAGUUGGUGAGGUAACGGCUCACCAAGCCGACGAUCGGUAGCUGGUCUGAGAGGAUGAUCAGCCACACUGGGACUGAGAUACGGCCCAGACUCCUACGGGAGGCAGCAGUGGGGAAUAUUGGACAAUGGGGCAACCCUGAUCCAGCAAUGCCGCGUGAGUGAUGAAGGCCUUAGGGUUGUAAAGCUCUUUUGGCGGGACGAUGAUGACGGUACCCGCAGAAUAAGCCCGGCUAACUUCGUGCCAGCAGCCGCGGUAAC
RNAcentral lists this ribosomal RNA (475 nucleotides) under uncultured Alphaproteobacteria bacterium. RNAcentral's name for it is "bacterial SSU rRNA". It matches the Rfam family "Bacterial small subunit ribosomal RNA", at positions 9 to 524 of the family's 1533-position model. The record is from RNAcentral. Lineage: Bacteria; Pseudomonadati; Pseudomonadota; Alphaproteobacteria.